Molecule: long non-coding RNA, 3608 nt
Organism: Hevea brasiliensis (rubber tree)
Lineage: Eukaryota; Viridiplantae; Streptophyta; Magnoliopsida; Malpighiales; Euphorbiaceae
Exons: 2
Source: RefSeq, a predicted model, not a curated record
AAGUUUAAAAAGUUAAAGUAUUCUGCUUAAAGUCCAAUUAGAAUCCGAUUUUCAUUAAUUCAACCCAACAUCAACUCCUUGCUUCCCUCAGCAAGGGUCAUGCAUUUCUCUACUAAAUUCAUCUCGUUUGCACUCUCCUGCAGCCCACUCUUUCAAAAGAUGAUCUCAUCUAUCAUUUCAAUCCCACUGAACCCAUCUGUUCUUCGCUGUUUCCAUUUCUCGGCACCACCAGCAAUGGCGCAUCAAGGGUAUCACAGCACCAGCAUACUCUGUUCACUAGUUUGCCCCAUCUCCCAAGGAAUCUCCAUAACCCUUGAGAAUUUAAUCUCUUUCUACCAAUCUCUCACUGUUUCAAAGCUCGAAAAGCAUAGCACAGCAAAACAACAAAAUUCAUGGCAAUGGCUGGGUGUCUCAGAUCGGGUCUGUCUCUACUUAAUAGGGUUCUAAUAUCUGAUUCCCUCUCUGCUUCACAAUCGGCCUUUCAGUGAUCCGUUAUUUGCCAUGCUUUCACAUCUGAGGAAGCAUUAUUAAUUUUUGGGCGCAGAGUAGACUUAUGAUAACUCUUCUAAAUGAAUUUUCGAAGAGAUCAAGCAGAGCACUUUCUCUGCUGGAAGGUUGAAAGCUCUGCUUCACAAUCUCAUUCCAACCAUUGCUAUUGCAUUGCCAAGCUAUUUAAUUGACUGCUUGUCCAAUUAAAUGAAUGAAUGGCUAAAGGUAAAAAAUCUAGGGUUAUCUGCUGUGUCAGUGCCAAUAUUUAGCUAAUUUUGUUGCCAUGGUUUUGAUGUUGUGGCAUUUGGUUUUAGGGGUUGUAUCAAAGAUGGAUGCAAUUAGUUUCAGUAAAGUUCAAAUUUUUGUGUGGGUGUGGCUUGGACAAGAGGAUCAGAUCCGAUGAUAAGAAAUUGUUUUGUGUUCUAUUUUUUAAUUCUCAAUUUUUUUUAUCCUUUAUUAUGAAGCUUGUGUUAAAUUCAAUAACAGCCUACUUAUUUUGUUGCUUUAGUUGUGCAGUUGUGUAAUGAUGAAGAAUGCAGGUAAAGAUCUAUCCCCUUUUUUUCAGUUCUUCAAGCACCUUCCUUUCCUGCUACCUAACCAUGUGUGCCCUGUCAGAUUGUAUACAUGAAUAUGGAGAAGCUUAUGAAGAUGGUUGGUGCAGGGAGAAAAGAGGCAGAGAUGCUGGAAAACAUUGCACCUACACCUCAGCCUGAUAUGCUCCUCCCAAUCAAAGGCAAGCUUUCUUUGCUUUUUGUAUUUUCUUUUAUUUGUUACAUAACUCUAAGAUCAAGAAUAAGGUCUUGCUAUUUAAAUUUGCAGAAAUCAUUCUCUUAACAGAUGCAAAUUAGGCCUGUUUCUUUUCUUUUUCCUCAACUUAUUAAUUAAAAAAAAAAAAAUUGUAGAGUUUUUGUUGGGAAAUAUUGUUGAAAUGCAUUUAUGAUUUUGCUCAUUAAGGAAUUUUAUGAAACUAAAUUUAGUAAGAAUGAAGCUUUUUCCAUUAGCUUAUCUACUGAGUGCAAAUGAUAAGGAUAAAUAGGGAUUGGUUCAUUAGCUUCAUGUUUUGGUGUACCUUUCUUUAAUUUAAGGUUGUUGUUCAUCUCUCUUUAAUGGGUUUAUGCUCCCUACUUUGUUUUUCUUUGGUACAAUCAUUUGCUUCUUUUGUGCCCUUGCUUUUGCUAGUUAUUUUUACUCUUAUCUGGAACAGCUACUACUGCAACCCUAUUCUUACUUACAGAGGUAUUAAUUUCUUGCUUUAUUCAUGUUGCUCUUCGUUUAAUGUGUUUAUUCUCCAUUUGUUCUUACUAAUCUCCUUCCCUUAGUUUUUCCCCUGCCUUUAAUGCUUUUAUCUAGGGCUGUUUUCGUUGUCACUCUCAAAGCUAAUUCUUGCACUUUGCAACAAUGUUUUCUGAUUUUGAGUUAGUGUUGUUUUAGAAGUAUGAUGGAUAUUUAGUUGGUCUUCCCUCUAUUCAUCAAUGAAUAGGUCUUUUGGUAAUAUUGUUUCAUCUAAUCCUGCCUUGGAACAAAGUGGUGAGUAAGAGGCAAUUAAAAUUUGGUUAACAAACCACAAGUUAAUUUAUAUUAAGUCAUGGAUGCAAAUAUAGAGUUCACUUCAUAUCAAGUAAAGAAAAAGAAUAGCUUACUUGAAAAACAUAUGAUUUGCCUAAGCUUUUUCCUUUAUGCUUUGUGUAAAAGAAAAUUAAAAAAAAAAAAAGAAAAAGAUAAUGCAUAACUGAAUAGGACUAAGCUAUAGUAGCACAAAUCUUAGAUCUCCAACACAGGAGCUAAUCUUGCUCCAGUAGUUAUCACCAGCCACAUGCUCCUCCAACCAACCUGAGUUUUAAGAUUUGCUUCAUCUGUCAUUGUUCAAUUAUUCCUCUCCUUUAUGGUGUCAAUUCAGUUAACCAAUGUUUUGAUCCAUGAUAAGUUUUAGAUCUGUAAAUUUAGCAAACAAUUUUGAUUAUGAAUUUUUUGAAAUUAUAAGCAAAUGGAAGUACUUCACAAAUCCAAUUGUCUUUACAUAGAAUUAUUGUUCAAAGAGUGAAAAAAAAAAUUCAUUUUAUUGAAAAAUUUAAACUAAAAUAAUAUGCAGUGAGAAUGAGCUUUCCUUCCUGUCUUUAUUAUUUUGUCAUCUUCUCCAUCAAUACAAGAAGAGAAAAUUUAAGUCUUUCGAUAUUUAAAUUAAACCCACCACUGUAUAUAUUAAGUACAAAACCUUGAUUAGUUUACAUAUUUAGUUAACACACUUGAGAAUCAUACUUUGGUGCAUGAUAUCAUGUUAAUAAUUAUAUAUGUUAAUCAAGCAUAUUCCUACUGUGAUAUAUCAUUAAUCAUUAUAUUAUCCUUUUGCUAGUUAUAAAAGAAGAAUUUAUUUCAAAACUACAUAAAGUUCUUAAAAUAUUUAAGUUCAUUUUGAGAUAAUAAUUAAUUAGAUUAUUUUACUGAGAGAUGAAAAUGUGAAUUUGAAUUUCAGAAAUUAAUAGCCAAUAAUGAUACAUCAAAAAAAUGAUUUUAGUUAUCAAAUAAAUUAUUCCUUUUAGAAUCCACAACAUGUAUGUUAAAUCAUUUUUUUCAGUAAAUUAAAAAGAUUUACAUAGAAAUGACAGAUUUCAAAGUAGUGAAUAAGUUGACCUUUCAUGAAGAAGAGAAGGCUGGGAGGGUUACCAAAUCUCGUGCUAACAAAUAAUCCGAUAGAGUUCUUAUUUGAUUUAACUAUUCUUAACCUUAUAUCUAAAAAAAAAUGGCUGGUGUUAAUAUAAUAAUGUGCAAUUAUGGACAAUGUGCAAUGGUGGAAGAGAUUUGACAAUUGUACUAGAUUGUCACGACUAAUAGUUUGGUUGCAAUGGAUAGAGACCGGCAGCGUGAGCGUUGGAAGAGUGCAUGUAAUAAAUGAUGCAGAACAUGAUAACACAUAUGAUGCAGGGUACAAAGUUUACGGCUUGAGCUCUAAAUGCUACUCAUUAUGAUGAUGCUAGAUAUACAGAUGGUUAUGACAUUAUUGAUGAUGAUUAGCUUGUUUUGUUAUUCUUAUGAUAUUUUAUUUUUUCAUACAAUAUAUUAUUGUCAUAACUAUUAACUGUGUUAUCUAUAUAUAAUAUUGAUUGAUAUUUGAUAUUUGAUAA